GACGAACGCUGGCGGCGUGCUUAACGCAUGCAAGUCGAACGGAAAGGCCCCUUUGGGGGUACUCGAGUGGCGAACGGGUGAGUAACACGUGAGUAACCUGCCCUUGACUUCGGGAUAACUUCAGGAAACUGGGGCUAAUACCGGAUAGGAAUCCUUGCUGCAUGGUGGGGGUUGGAAAGCUUCGGCGGUUUUGGAUGGACUCGCGGCUUAUCAGCUUGUUGGUGGGGUAGUGGCUUACCAAGGCUUUGACGGGUAGCCGGCCUGAGAGGGCGACCGGCCACAUUGGGACUGAGAUACGGCCCAGACUCCUACGGGAGGCAGCAGUGGGGAAUAUUGCACAAUGGGCGGAAGCCUGAUGCAGCAACGCCGCGUGCGGGAUGACGGCCUUCGGGUUGUAAACCGCUUUCAGCAGGGGCGAAGCUUGUGGUGACGGUACCUGCAGAAGAAGCACCGGCUAACUACGUG
RNAcentral lists this ribosomal RNA (465 nucleotides) under uncultured bacterium. RNAcentral's name for it is "partial 16S ribosomal RNA". It matches the Rfam family "Bacterial small subunit ribosomal RNA", at positions 28 to 507 of the family's 1533-position model. The record is from RNAcentral.